This is a long non-coding RNA of Eucalyptus grandis, 921 nucleotides long. RefSeq lists it as uncharacterized. The record is from RefSeq and is a predicted model, not a curated record. The transcript is spliced from 6 exons. Lineage: Eukaryota; Viridiplantae; Streptophyta; Magnoliopsida; Myrtales; Myrtaceae.
GAGAACGAUCAAAAUGAAGAGGAAUUUUGCCGUGGAAUCAUCAGCAGUAGCUGAAGGCUUUUGUGCCCACCUUGAAGAGGCUUACGGGCCAACUGGAGUGUAUUGAGUUCUUUGAUGCGACUGCGUUCUAAUGAUAUCAUUCCCAAACUCAGUCAGGCUUUGCAAAUAGAGGUAGCACUGCCAAUCCUCCCAUAACUGUGAGAGAAGUUGUUGGAUGCGGUUGCUUCUAAUAAUAUCAUUCCUGAACUUAAUGGGGCUCUGCAAAGGAAGGUUACCCUGAUGCAGAGUUCUUUGGUAAAAGCUGAAAAGAAGAAGAGAAGCUCUCUUGUGCCAAACAGCAUUUUCUGGUCAUGUUUGAUGAAGUUAUUCGAAAGUCCUUGCUCAUGAAAUUUUACGGAAAAAGGAAAUGAAGCGGAACAUCAAGAAGGUGGUGUUUGCGCCAUUUUUCCUAUUUCCUAGUUAGUAAUGCAAUUGGAAGAGAAUGUCUUCAAAGUUCUGGCAUAAUAGAAGGAUUGGUGAGGAUUGCAGCUACCUGUGCUACUGGGACCAUCUCAUGUGGACUCUAAUGCCACCUCCUCUGUGGUAUACCGGGUUUUAUACCAAUAAAUAGUCGAUAAUAGACACCAAGGAUCCAAGCAAUAACUGCCGAUGCUCUUUGCAUUAACUGCCGAUGAUCGUGGAGUACGCGAUCACAUCUGGCUCCCCGCCUUCUUCUUACAAAUUCUUCAGCAAUCGAACGGAUUUCCUGGCAUGUGGUUAUAUCUACCUUAUCAAAGUGUUAAAGCUCAGAGUUGUUGGUUCUAGUGCAAGUUUGACUAUUUAACAUCAAAACUGAGAAACCGAGAUCGGACCUCUUCGAUUGGCGGAGGUGAUUCAUCAAAAUGCUGCGAGUAAAAACAUUGGGCGAAGUUCCUUCCAAAC